This 301-nucleotide ribosomal RNA is filed under the name uncultured bacterium. RNAcentral describes it as "partial 16S ribosomal RNA". It matches the Rfam family "Bacterial small subunit ribosomal RNA", at positions 509 to 807 of the family's 1533-position model. The record is from RNAcentral.
CAGUCGCCGCGGUAAUACGAAGGUCCCGAGCGUUGUUCGGAAUCACUGGGCGUAAAGGGAGCGUAGGCGGCGUGGUAAGUCAGAUGUGAAAUCCCGGGGCCCAACCCCGGAACUGCAUCCGAUACUGCCGUGCUAGAGGAUUGGAGAGGUAGCUGGAAUUCUUGGUGUAGCAGUGAAAUGCGUGGAGAUCAAGAGGAACACUCGUGGCGAAAGCGAGCUACUGGACAAUAUCUGACGCUGAGGCUCGAAGGCCAGGGUAGCGAAAGGGAUUAGAUACCCCGGUAGUCCCUGUCUCUUAUAC